ACGGAGGGUGCGAGCGUUAUUCGGAAUUACUGGGCGUAAAGCGCGUGCAGGCGGGUCGGCAAGUCUGAUGUGAAAGCCCAGGGCUUAACCCGGGAAGUGCAUUGGUAACUGCCGUACUUGAGUAUGUGAGAGGGGGGUAGAAUUCCCCGUGUAGAAGUGAAAUGCGUAGAUAUGCGGAGGAAUACCGAUGGCGAAGGCAGCCAUCUGGGCUAAUACUGACGCUGAGGCGCGAAAGCGUGGGUAGCAAACAG
Molecule: ribosomal RNA, 251 nt
Filed under: uncultured prokaryote
Description: partial 16S rRNA
Rfam family: Bacterial small subunit ribosomal RNA
Source: RNAcentral